GGAUGUGAGGGCCAUCUGGCUGCAACAUCACUAGGUUUGAUUGGGCUGAUCUGGCUAGCUGGGCAGGUUUCCCUUUCUUCCUCCUGCCCCCUGUGCUUCCCUCCAAACACUGCACACGUUUGUGCUCACUGGCAGAGGAGGCCUUUCCAGAAUAGAGACAGACCAUUCUUCAACCGAGGAUAUAGGUAUAGCUGCACUCCGCUGCUAGAACCUCUAAAACAAGUUCUCAGGAAUAGUUUCGUGUCAUUUGCAAAUAAAGCCUGACUUCUUAUUACCAGAACAAAUUCAUUAAUUACAAGUUUUCUUAAAAGUGUU
This 315-nucleotide small nuclear RNA is filed under the name Sorex araneus (European shrew). Its description in RNAcentral is "7SK RNA (ENSSARG00000019410.1)". It matches the Rfam family "7SK RNA". Rfam says of the family: 7SK was discovered as an abundant small nuclear RNA in the mid-70s but a possible function has only recently been suggested. Two independent studies have found that 7SK RNA binds the CDK9/cyclin T complex (known as elongation factor P-TEFb). P-TEFb activates transcription by phosphorylating the C-terminal domain of RNA polymerase II. The record is from RNAcentral. Lineage: Eukaryota; Metazoa; Chordata; Mammalia; Eulipotyphla; Soricidae.